This 253-nucleotide ribosomal RNA is filed under the name uncultured bacterium. RNAcentral's name for it is "partial 16S ribosomal RNA". It matches the Rfam family "Bacterial small subunit ribosomal RNA", at positions 524 to 776 of the family's 1533-position model. The record is from RNAcentral.
UACGUAGGUGGCGAGCGUUGUCCGGAUUUACUGGGCGUAAAGAGCGCGCAGGCGGUCGUUCAAGUCGCGUGUGAAAGCCCCCGGCUCAACUGGGGAGGGUCACGCGAUACUGAUCGACUCGAAGGCAGGAGAGGGAAGUGGAAUUCCUGGUGUAGCGGUGAAAUGCGCAGAUAUCAGGAGGAACACCAAUGGCGAAGGCAGCUCGCUGGGACGUGACUGACGCUGAGACGCGAAAGCGUGGGGAGCAAACAGG